This 361-nucleotide ribosomal RNA is filed under the name uncultured Allobrachymonas sp. Its description in RNAcentral is "bacterial SSU rRNA". It matches the Rfam family "Bacterial small subunit ribosomal RNA", at positions 1017 to 1382 of the family's 1533-position model. The record is from RNAcentral. Lineage: Bacteria; Pseudomonadati; Pseudomonadota; Betaproteobacteria; Burkholderiales; Comamonadaceae.
CGAAAGAGAACCUGCACACAGGUGCUGCAUGGCUGUCGUCAGCUCGUGUCGUGAGAUGUUGGGUUAAGUCCCGCAACGAGCGCAACCCUUGCCCAUUAGUUGCUACGAAAGGGCACUCUAAUGGGACUGCCGGUGACAAACCGGAGGAAGGUGGGGAUGACGUCAAGUCCUCAUGGCCCUUAUAGGUGGGGCUACACACGUCAUACAAUGGCCGGUACAGAGGGUAGCCAACCCGCGAGGGGGGAGCCAAUCCCACAAAGCCGGUCGUAGUCCGGAUCGCAGUCUGCAACUCGACUGCGUGAAGUCGGAAUCGCUAGUAAUCGCGGAUCAGCAUGUCGCGGUGAAUACGUUCCCGGGUCUU